CACGUAGGGCGCAAGCGUUGUCCGGAAUUAUUGGGCGUAAAGGGCUCGUAGGUGGCCAACUAAGUCAGACGUGAAAUCCCUCGGCUUAACCGGGGAACUGCGUCUGAUACUGGAUGGCUUGAGUUCGGGAGAGGGAUGCGGAAUUCCAGGUGUAGCGGUGAAAUGCGUAGAUAUCUGGAGGAACACCGGUGGCGAAGGCGGCAUCCUGGACCGAUACUGACGCUGAGGAGCGAAAGCCAGGGGAGCAAACGGG
RNAcentral lists this ribosomal RNA (253 nucleotides) under uncultured bacterium. RNAcentral's name for it is "partial 16S ribosomal RNA". It matches the Rfam family "Bacterial small subunit ribosomal RNA", at positions 524 to 776 of the family's 1533-position model. The record is from RNAcentral.